CAGCAGCCGCGGGAAUACGUAGGGUGCAAGCGUUAAUCGGAAUUACUGGGCGUAAAGCGUGCGCAGGCGGUUUGUUAAGACAGAUGUGAAAUCCCCGGGCUCAACCUGGGAGCUGCAUUUGUGACUGGCAAGCUAGAGUGUGGCAGAGGGGGGUGGAAUUCCGCGUGUAGCAGUGAAAUGCGUAGAUAUGCGGAGGAACACCGAUGGCGAAGGCAGCCCCCUGGGCCAACACUGACGCUCAUGCACGAGAGCGUGGGGAGCAAACAGGAUUAGAUACCCCCGUAGUCCCUGUCUCUUAUAC
This 301-nucleotide ribosomal RNA is filed under the name uncultured bacterium. Its description in RNAcentral is "partial 16S ribosomal RNA". It matches the Rfam family "Bacterial small subunit ribosomal RNA", at positions 509 to 807 of the family's 1533-position model. The record is from RNAcentral.